RNAcentral lists this small RNA (537 nucleotides) under Pan troglodytes (chimpanzee). RNAcentral's name for it is "processed transcript". Lineage: Eukaryota; Metazoa; Chordata; Mammalia; Primates; Hominidae. The record is from RNAcentral.
AGAUGGAGAAACUGAGGCACAGGGGCUGAUUCGCAGGUCAGGAGACUGAGAGGAUCAAGCUAUGGAGGUUCUGAUGUCACUUCUGGAAAAGAGCUGAGUGACAGCUGUGAAGGCGCCUUUGGAGGGGGCAGGCUGGAGGGCAGGGCAGCCCGAAAACACCACCGCAGGUCCACGCGUGCGCGCUCCCGGCAGGAGAGGGCCAGCCGGCCCCGGCUUACCAUCUUGAACGUGUGCAACACUGGGGACAAGAUGGUGGAGUGCCAGCUGGAGACGCACAACCACAAGAUGGUGACCUUCAAGUUCGACUUGGACGGGGACGCACCCGAUGAAAUUGCCACGUAUAUGGUGGAGCAUGACUUUAUCCUGCAGGCCGAGCGGGAAACGUUCAUCGAGCAGAUGAAGGAUGUCAUGGACAAGGCAGAGGACAUGCUCAGCGAGGACACAGACGCCGACCGUGGCUCCGACCCAGGGACCAGCCCGCCACACCUCAGCACCUGCGGCCUGGGCACCGGGGAGGAGAGCCGACAAUCCCAAGCC